UACAGAGGUCCCAAGCGUUGUUCGGAUUCACUGGGCGUAAAGGGUGCGUAGGCGGUUGGGUAAGUCUGUCGUGAAAUCUCCGAGCCCAACUCGGAAACUGCGUCGGAUACUAUUCAACUCGAGGAAUGGAGGGGAGACUGGAAUUCUCGGUGUAGCAGUGAAAUGCGUAGAUUUCGAGAGGAACGCUCGCAGCGAAAGCGAAGCUCUGGUCAGAUUCUGACGCUGAGGCACGAAGGCUAGGGGAGCGAACGGG
RNAcentral lists this ribosomal RNA (253 nucleotides) under uncultured bacterium. Its description in RNAcentral is "partial 16S ribosomal RNA". It matches the Rfam family "Bacterial small subunit ribosomal RNA", at positions 524 to 776 of the family's 1533-position model. The record is from RNAcentral.